GACGAACGCUGGCGGCGUGCUUAACACAUGCAAGUCGAGCGGUAAGGCUCCUUCGGGAGUACACGAGCGGCGAACGGGUGAGUAACACGUGAGCAAUCUGCCCUUCACUUUGGGAUAACUUCGAGAAAUCGGAGCUAAUACCGAAUGCGACCACUUCAGGCAUCUGAUGGUGGUGGAAAGUUCCGGCGGUGAAGGAUGAGCUCGCGGCCUAUCAGCUUGUUGGUGGGGUAAGUGGCCCGACCAAGGCUUCGACGGGUAGCCGGCCUGAGAGGGUGACCGGCCACACUGGGACUGAGACACUGCCCAGACACCUACGGGUGGCUGCAGUCGAGAAUCUUUGGCAAUGG
RNAcentral lists this ribosomal RNA (347 nucleotides) under uncultured bacterium. RNAcentral's name for it is "bacterial SSU rRNA". It matches the Rfam family "Bacterial small subunit ribosomal RNA", at positions 28 to 374 of the family's 1533-position model. The record is from RNAcentral.